RNAcentral lists this long non-coding RNA (5005 nucleotides) under Sus scrofa (pig). RNAcentral's name for it is "lncRNA (ENSSSCG00005008442.1)". Lineage: Eukaryota; Metazoa; Chordata; Mammalia; Artiodactyla; Suidae. The record is from RNAcentral.
UUUUUUUUUUUUUUUUUUUUUUUUUUGGUAUUUUGUCUUUUUAGGGCCACACCCUUGGCUUAUGGAGGUUUUCAGGCUAGUGGUCGAAUCCGAGCUCAGCUGACCGCCUAUGCCACAGCCACAGCCACAGCAACGCGGGAUCCGAGCCACAUAUGCAACCUACAUGGUCAUGGCAAUGCUGGAUCCUUAACCCACUGAGCAAGGCCAGGGAUUGAACCCGUGUCUUCAUGGAUACUGUUUGGGUUCGUUAAUGACUGAGCCACUGCAGGAACUCUGGUACAACAUCUAUUUUAAACUAGAUAGACAAAUGGAUUUUAAUUAACCAAUCAUUUUUAAUGUAACCAAUGUAAUGUAAUCAAUGUAAAUCAUUGAUAUGUCUUCAAAUUCUACACGGCAACUAAGUUUUAAGAAACUAUCAUUUCUUGAGUUUGGUGUAAUAUCAAAGAUGAAUAUUCACAGUUAUUUGAAAGACUGUUAUGGUAUUCUUCUCUUUUCCAAAUUCAGAACUCUGGGUGAAUGGAUUUUCUUCCUAUUCUUAAAUAAAAAUAUGCUGUGACAAACAAUUCAGCAACAGAUGUGCAAAUCCAGGUCUACUCUAUUAAGGCAGGCAUUAAAUAGACUUUCAAAAUAUAAAUCAAAGUCAGUUUUCUCACUAUCUCUUCUUAUUUUAGAAAAUAUGCUAAUUUCUCAUAAAAACAAGUUAUUUAUGUUAACUUGAAUUGGGCAUAUUAUGAUAAUUUUUAAUGAAUUGAGAAGUUUUUAAUUUUCUUAAAUUUUAAUUUCUGUUAUGAUAUACAUAUUGCCACAUAAAUAAAAGCCUUUUUAAAGCUCCAAUAACUUUUAGGUGUAUAAAGGGUUCUGAAGAACAAAAGAUUUGUGAACCUCUGGUAGAGAACACUACAUUAGAGGACUUCUUGUCAAAUUUCUUCUCCUGUUGUCUCCUCAUUUAAAAUUAUCUUCCCAACCUUCUGCUUUCUACAUCGGUUCAGGCCUUGGUUCCUCUGUAGUCUGCUCCUCUCAUUAACACCCUAGCUCUGUUAACAGGAUCCUGCUCUGAUGCCCCUUAAGACUGGGAGCUUAUUUCUAUACCCCACCCUCCAAACGCAAGGCAUCAGCCACUGUUCCUAGAACUACUUCGUGCAUUGGUGGGUCUGCCUAACCUCUACCUGUUGGUCCCCUCAUAGCCUUGGUCAUUUUAAUUACAUUUUUUCUUCUCUCAACUAAUAGUGACCAAAGAUAGAACUUACCGGGGGAUCACUAUCGGCCAAACAGAGUUAAGACAAGGGUAGAGAAAAUGGGGAUGAGGAUUGAAAGAGACUUAAUUUUAUUUACAAAAAUAUGGUACACAAUUAUAUGAACAAAAGAAAUAACAAGGAAAUGAGAACAAGUAUAUAGAUUCUCAUUUUCCCAUUGUUAUACACCACUGUCUAGCAUUCUAAGCUACAUUUAUUAAUAUUUCUCUCCAAAUAUAGAUCACCCUGAAAAUUUUCCUGUACAUCUUUUAGAUAUUUCUAUCUUGAAUCACUUCAUAGAUGAUAUCAAAAGAUCAUAGGACAACAUUAUAAGAUGGAAGUAUUGAAAUAAACUCUAUGAGAAAACAAAAGCUUUAAAGUUCAAUAAACAUAUUUGCUUGUUUAUUACACACUAAUAAAGUCAAGUUCACUAGAACUUAGCCUAUGUUACCUUAUUUAAUGCUCACGAUAAUCAAAUGACUUAAAAAUAAUUAUUAUUCCUACUUUACAGAGAAUAGGGGCAAAAGAAUUAAAUAAUUUGUGCAAAGCUUUAUGGCUGGUAAGUGGUAGAAUUGGGAUUCAAACCAGGCCAUUUUGCCUUUACUGCAUGUAUCUCCCGUCCACAUUUACAUCACCUCAUUCAUUCACUUAAUUCUUUAUUGCAUGCCUAGAACAGUAAUGAGCAUCCUUCGAGGCCAAUCAGAACCUGAGGCCAGAGAAAUGAGGUGACUUGUGGAGGUCCAAUCAGAUGGGUUGGGGUCUGGGAAUGAAACUCUGGUCCCAACUCUCAAGCACAGGUUCAUUUUUCUGAGCAGCCAGAGGUUGAGGUGUAAUUCACACGAUGAGUCCUGCUUCUUUGUGAUAUUUGUCCAGAUAGACUUGUUUGAAUGUAAAGAAUGAGGAGGGUCUAUGCAACUGCAUAGGUAAGACUGAGUAGAAUUUUAAAAAAAAUUAGAAACAAGAAACUCAUGAGACAGUAUUUUUAAAAUCUGUGUAACUUGGAAGAGUGAUGUCUUUAAUGUAAAUGUUUAAUAUUCCAAACCUCUGAAUCUGAUUGCAAUCUCAUUAGUACCAAUAUUCAAAUCCAGGGAGUUCUGAUGUUCCACUAACCUAUGUAGGAAGUCCAGACCUAUCUGGUCCUUGAAGUAUUUCUGGGAAUUCCCAGCGGUCCCCUUAAGGGUGUGUCCAUGUAUCAGACUACCCUUGUCGCCUACUGCAGGCAGUCAGCAGCCACUGCUCAGUGCCAGUCGCUGCCAGUUCUCCCACGAAGGGAGGGAGGGGGAGAAUAUGGCCUUUCCCCUUGGGCUCAGCUCCGCUGUGGAGGGCCACAGCUAUUGCAUCCCUCAGUACUGCCAAGUUGGAGAAAAGCUCCAGCUAUUUUCACACACAGCCCUUCUCCCCAACUGCUCACAGGCCCAGAACUAAUAUAUUGGUUCUGUUCCCAUGCCGGAUGUACCAAGCAAGACUGCUUCUUAUCUUGUGAUGAAUUUUUCUCUCGUGGUAUUAGAAUAGUCCUUCUUAGACUCAGUCCUGUCUCACACCAAUGACAAUGGCAGCUAGAAAUAUCUCCCUAUAGCUUUACCCCUAGUUAAUCUAUGUGGGAAACACAUACACUGUGGGGAUGUGAGGGUGAGAAGUGGGGGAAAACAAGGAACAGUAGUCAUCCAAUUUCACAGGAAAAUGUACCUAUCAUUGGCCUGUCUAGCUCAGUCAGAGCACCUGUUACAGACAUAUGGAACAGAAAAUUCCUGUGAAUAGACCCCUCCCUCUGCCAGCAGCAUGGCUGUAGCCAGCCAAUUUCUUAACUGGUAGUUUUUUGUUUAUUUUAUUUUCUUAUAUUUUUGCUUUUUAGGGCCACACUCAUUGCAUAUAGAAGUUCCCAGGCUAGGAGUCCAACCGGAGCUAUAGCUGCUGGCCUACACUGCAACCACAGCAACGCAGGAUCCGAGUUGCAUCUGUGAGCUACACCACGGCUCAUGGCAACACGGGAUCUUUAACCCACUGUGUGAGGCCAGGGAUGGAAUCUACAUCCUGGUGGAUACUAGCCAGGUUCAUAACCCACUGAGCCACAACAGGAACUCGCUUCACUAGUAGUUUUUCAGACACUGGCAUAAAUUCCUCUGUUUUAAGCACAAUAUCUACAAUGUUUCAACAAUAUAUUUUACUGGAAAGAAAGGGACUUCUAGAUUUCUGUCGCAAACCGUCAAAAUUCAGUGUUCCCAAACACACAUUCUUUAUAAUCUUUAUAAUCACUUAUGUGUCUUGGAGGUCAACCUUAGACAUGCUCUACCAUGCAGGCAGGAACAUGGGUAGCGAGAGGGACAAUUUUGAAUGUUCCACAUAGAAUUGUGUCAUAGAAAAAGUAUUUACCACUUGUUAAAAUAGUACAGAAGAUUUUAUUCAAGACCAUUCCAAGAGGGGAGAAAGACCAAACUCAAUUCUGAAUACAAUCAAGACAAGUGGGUGAUUUAUAGCCGAUUACAGUUAGAGUGAAGGAUUUAGUGGAUGGACAAUCACUGAGGAUAUACAAAGUCAGGGGGAUUCUUUCUAAACUAGCCUGAUGAGAUUCUUGCUAAAGACAGGUCAAGUUCAGGCGUAAUCGAGAAGAGAGUUAAGAAGAGCUUGACUAAACCUUGGUCAAGGAGGGCUGAACACAACAUUCCGGCUUUGAGAUCUAUGUUCCAAAAGCUCUGAAAUGUGAAGAGGGUCUGUUUGCUUAUUGCACUUCAGUAUUUAUUCAUUCAGCUUUGCUCAAGUGGUAAAUUUCUAAUCAACUCAAUUUGGAAAGGUGUUAUUUUGCAACUUUUUCAAAAAUUCAUAAAGGAAGCUGAAAUAUGGGGAGUGUGCAAAUCAUAGUAUUCAAAUAAUUAGACAGUAAUAUCUCUGGAUUCCCCUAUCCUUAAUAUCCAUGCACUUACCUAUUUAUUCUAUAAAUGAUGGCUACCAUCCCUUUUCAGUCCUUUCUUCUAUAUCUCUCCUUUUCCUACCUGCACCUGUAACCUUACCAAUUUAUCACACAGUCACUCAUUUAGGGGGAAAAAAUCUGGAAAGCAAAACCUGUUUCAUCCUUUGUAAUGUACUUAGAUAGAAAGUGCUUUCCAUAAUCCACAAUCAUUCUGCAGCUAGAAAAGACUCUUAACAGUCAUCUCUUCCAGCUCUCUCACUUAAUAAUUCAGGAAACUGAGGUCCAGACCAGUUGGUGAUUUAAUUAAAUUUUCAUAGUUAAUACUAAAAAUAAAUGUAUUUUCACACCUGAAGUUUAAAGUCCAUUCCAGUAUUAAAAAUCAUGAAAUUACAUUUUUUUAAAUCCUGAGCUGACCAUAACAGAAAAUACCAGUUUCUCCUGCUUCCCUAAGAGGUGAGUUAGGAGAAUUGGUCACUUCUAUUUUUAACAAAGAAAGAGUUGAUAAGAUACUGUCUGAAUUGAAGAAUUUCUAGAAACUUGAAUGGUCUAAAAAUAUUAACUUUAUGUUUGGGACAGAAUUUUGCUAGAAUCACAUUACCCAGUGUUCAGAAAUGGAAAUAAACAGUCUCCAAUCAGAAGACUUGACUGAGGCGAAUGGGUGACUCUAUGGGGCCACUAAUUCAUAUGCAGAAGGAAGACACAUGAGCCCAGGGAAUUAUAGUCACUAUCCAGUGAUAAGCCAUACUGGAAAAGAAUAUGAAAAAAAAAAAUGGGUAUAUGUAUACGUACAACCAAAUUAUUUUGUUUUACAGCAGAAAUUGACAUAACGUUGUAAAUCAAUUGUGCUUCAAUAAGAUAAAAGAAAAAA